UGAAACGUUUUGCGAUGUAUUUUCAAAUGACAUUCGGACACGCAGGUCUCGGGUUUGUGAGCUUCUGGCGCGCCUGGGAGUUUGAAGAUCUGUCUAAGCAAAAUAUCGAUACAACAGGCACUGGGAAGAACCGCCGCCUUUUAGCGGGAGGGAGGGAGAGGGAGAGGGAGAGAGAGAGAGAAAGAGAGAGGGAGAGAGAGAGAGCGGGAGAGGAAGGGAGGAGGAGAGAAAGAGAGGAGAGAAAGAGAGGGGGAGAGAGAGAGAAAGAGGGAGAGAGCGAGAGAGAGAGAGAGAGGGGAAGGGAGAGAGGAGAGAGAGAGAGAGAGAAAAGCUACAUUCCGAAUAGUGACAGUAUAAGUCACCAGCAAUGUGAAGAAAAUCGGAUACUUAAAGCGCCCAAGAAGAUUAAUGUCUGGCAAUAAUCUUUGCAAUUAGUAAUGACCAUCAUAAAUCAUUAGUUCGUGGCUUUCAUGGAUGGUGGCAGCAAUGCUGACAUUUACUGUCCAUCUCAAAGUACCCUGAGCUGAAGAAGCUGUUUGAAGUUCACCACAUGUAUAACGACCUCAAGUGAUACACAAGCCAGACUGGGUAUGACCAACCAAAUUUGCCGUCAGAUUGAACCACAAUCUGGAAAUGUACAUCAGUUCACAGUUCUUUGAGUGAUUUUCUAAAGGGGACAGUGAUGACUGAAGAAAACCAUUGAACUGUUUGGCCAUAACAGGCUUUCUUAUUUUUACAAGGCCAAGUUGCUAGCUCAACGCACAACCCAACACGGAUGGAGAGCGUGCAAGGGAGCCAGCUGGAUUCAAACUUAGGAGCCUUCGCUCCGAAGCCCGGCACUGAUGCCACUAUGCCACCAGCCAGCCAGAAUGGCAAUAUCCUAGCUGACAGAGUCAAUAAGCAGCUAAUACCUUGAUGUUCACCUGUGAUAGAGCUGUGGGCUGAGGAAGAAAGAAAAAAGCUUCAAGGAGAUACGAACAUGCAAGAUGGAGUACAAUACUGAAAAAAUAUGAGGUCACCAUUUUAAGUACAAAAGAUGUUUUGCUCCAUUGGGUGAGACCAGACGUGGAAUAUUGUAUAUGGAUCUGGUGUUGCACCAAUGAGAAGCAAAGUGGAUGAUCUCAUUCACUGAGCAAACACCAGGAAAUCUGCAGAUGCUGGAAAUUCAAACAACAACACACACACAAUGCUGGUAGAACACAGCAGGCUAGUCAGCAUCUAUAGGGAGAAGCGCUGCCAACGUUUCCGGCUGAGACCCUUCGUCAGGAUUAAUUUUUGGGACAGCACGUUCAACAUAAGAGAAGAGAUUAAAAGUUUUGUUUCUGCUCUUGAGUUUAAACAGUGAGAGAUGGUCUCUUGAAACACAAAAUUCUUAUGGGGCUUACCGGGUUCAAAGCAGGGAUGAUGUUUCCCUUGGCUAUGGUUUCUAGAACCAGGGCCAGAGUCUCACAGUAAAUGGUCAAAGCAUUCCAGUCAGGAAGACAGGAAAUGUUUUCAUCUGAAGAUAGAGAACCUUUGGAAUUCACCAUCCAAGAGGACGACAAUGGCUUGUUUGCCAAGGAUAUUCAGGGUGGAGAUCAAUGGAUUUUUAGAUAUUAUUAAAAUCAAGGGAUAAGGGAUUAGUGUAGGAAAGUGGCACAUACGUUAAAAAUCAGCAGUGGUCACAAUCAAUAGCAUUCAGUGACUGGUCAUAUCAAACUACAUGAGAGUUAGUAAAGUGGAUUUAAGUUAUAAGUUAUAUCAAUGAGUAUACAUACAACAAAUUGCCUUACAGAUACCCCUAAUAAAGAGGGUGCUGUGCUACAGGCAAUAUCUAUUGGAUGUGUCAUUCAGUGGAUAGAAAAGUGGAUAGAAAAAGUCCUGUGCUAUUAUUUCACCUGGGAGAAUGAAAUUUCUCUUCAAAAUUUAUGUCUCAAUCUAAACAUGAAGUCAAUUAAACUGAACAUUGUCAAUGUCUGUUGAAGAUAUCUUGCCGAACACAAAUUGGCUGCUGAAUUUUGCAACUCACUAAUGAUUCCAGUUUUUAAAAAAAGAACUUAAAGUUGCUUUACUAAUUAUAAGAAUUUGUCAGGGUCUUUUAGACCAUCACUCAGUUAAAAUGAAUUAAAACAAAAAUCACCCAAGACACUCAAAAUUAUUACACUUGUGUGUUUUACUAAUGGAAUCCUCAACCAUCUUCUGGCCAACAUAACCAUGGAUCCUAAGGUUUAUUGUUCUGUCCUCAAGGAAGAGCUCUAUCCCAGUACUUUUGAAAUUCCUGGGUAUUUGCAUUGAGUUUGCAAAUAUAAUAAAAAAUUAUAUUGAUUAAACCAAAGUUUCAGAAACAAAAAUCAUUAAUAUGGUAUAUUCCAUUAAAUGCAGUGUGUGGCGCAACAUGGCAGCACUUUUGAACAAUGUACAGUCAUGUCAGCUCGGUUUUGCAGGGUGUUUGGAUUGACAAAUCUGAUAUUUGCAGUCAUAACCACCUUAGUUUCUAAAAGUAAAUAAGGCAGUCACAUUGAUUAUAUUCUCAUGUAAUUGUUCCCAGUUUUGAUUCUAAAUUUUACUUAGUAG
Long non-coding RNA from Hypanus sabinus (Atlantic stingray), 2553 nucleotides. RefSeq lists it as uncharacterized. The transcript is spliced from 5 exons. The record is from RefSeq and is a predicted model, not a curated record. NCBI's taxonomy places the organism in Eukaryota, Metazoa, Chordata, Chondrichthyes, Myliobatiformes, Dasyatidae.